Magnolia sinica is the source of this 891-nucleotide long non-coding RNA. RefSeq lists it as uncharacterized. The transcript is spliced from 4 exons. The record is from RefSeq and is a predicted model, not a curated record. Lineage: Eukaryota; Viridiplantae; Streptophyta; Magnoliopsida; Magnoliales; Magnoliaceae.
UCUAAGUGACAAGUGGGGCAGUCUUAAAUUUCCAUGGUCUCAUAGGAGAGGAAAUCAUGCCCUUUUACUCCAACAAUGGGAAAGUCUACUUUCACCAGAUGGAAAGCUUUGAGAUGGAAUGAAGUUAUUGAAGAAAAGUCUGCAGUCUCAGGUGAGAGACUCCUGAUGUUGCAUACCUGCACACUUCUUUGAUCUAUUUUCUCCCUUGCUUGUCAUAUAAUAACCAUGCACUAUUUGCAGGUUCUCGACAAAGCUGAUCGAAUGCUUGACAUGGGAUUCGAGCAAGAAGUUCGCUCCAUAUUGAGCUAGACAUCUCUAGUAUGUGAUUUGUACAAAAACCAUGAAAGAGUUUUGUUGGUUUUUGUCGUAGAAUGAGAUAUGCAUGGACAUGAAUCCGAAUGAGCAUUGUUGCAAAACAAUCUAUGGGAGGGACACAUUUUCUCUAUUUUGUUUCUGUUGCAAUGUAUUUUCCUUUUGUUCCUAGAUAUGGAUAUAUGGAAACAGCUUUGAGUCUUUCCUCAUCACCGUUGUCAAUCCCAACAAGCAAGCACUUGACUCUUGGGAUGAGGAGAAUGGGCAAGGUGGGGAUUUUGCUGCUCUCUGUGAGAAUCCCAAGGCAAAAGAAUACAUUCUUGGGGAACUUACAAAGCAUGCCAAAGCAAAGAAGUUAAAAGGUUUCGAAAUCCCAAAAGCCAUCCAUCUUGACCUAGUACCGUUUGACAUGGAGCGAGACCUUCUCACCCAAACCUAUAAGAAAAUGCGGCAACAGUUGCUCAAAUAUUACCAGAGCACCAUUGAUGACAUGUACAAGAAUGGCAAGUGAGCAAAAUAUCCCCACUCUGACGGUGCAAAUACUGAUGUCCAUGUACAUGGGGGACCCAUAUCCCAUUU